Molecule: ribosomal RNA, 1299 nt
Filed under: Thermococcus guaymasensis
Lineage: Archaea; Methanobacteriati; Methanobacteriota; Thermococci; Thermococcales; Thermococcaceae
Description: 16S ribosomal RNA
Rfam family: Archaeal small subunit ribosomal RNA
Source: RNAcentral
CCACUGCUAUGGGGGUCCGACUAAGCCAUGCGAGUCAUGGGGCGCGCUUNCGCGCACCGGCGGACGGCUCAGUAACACGUCGGUAACCUACCCUCGGGAGGGGGAUAACCCCGGGAAACUGGGGCUAAUCCCCCAUAGGCCUGAGGUACUGGAAGGUCCUCAGGCCGAAAGGGGCUUUUGCCCGCCCGAGGAUGGGCCGGCGGCCGAUUAGGUAGUUGGUGGGGUAACGGCCCACCAAGCCGAAGAUCGGUACGGGCCAUGAGAGUGGGAGCCCGGAGAUGGACACUGAGACACGGGUCCAGGCCCUACGGGGCGCAGCAGGCGCGAAACCUCCCCAAUGCGGGAAACCGCGACGGGGGGACCCCCAGUGCCGUGGUAUCGACACGGUUUUUCCGGAGUGUAAAAAGCUCCGGGAAUAAGGGCUGGACAAGGCCGGUGGCAGCCGCCGCGGUAAUACCGGCGGCCCAAGUGGUGGCCGCUAUUAUUGGGCCUAAAGCGUCCGUAGCCGGGCCCGUAAGUCCCUGGCGAAAUCCCACGGCUCAACCGUGGGGCUUGCUGGGGAUACUGCGGGCCUUGGGACCGGGAGAGGCCGGGGGUACCCCUGGGGUAGGGGUGAAAUCCUGUAAUCCCAGGGGGACCGCCAGUGGCGAAGGCGCCCGGCUGGAACGGGUCCGACGGUGAGGGACGAAGGCCAGGGGAGCGAACCGGAUUAGAUACCCGGGUAGUCCUGGCUGUAAAGGAUGCGGGCUAGGUGUCGGGCGAGCUUCGAGCUCGCCCGGUGCCGAAGGGAAGCCGUUAAGCCCGCCGCCUGGGGAGUACGGCCGCAAGGCUGAAACUUAAAGGAAUUGGCGGGGGAGCACUACAAGGGGUGGAGCGUGCGGUUUAAUUGGAUUCAACGCCGGGAACCUCACCGGGGGCGACGGCAGGAUGAAGGCCAGGCUGAAGGUCUUGCCGGACGCGCCGAGAGGAGGUGCAUGGCCGCCGUCAGCUCGUACCGUGAGGCGUCCACUUAAGUGUGGUAACGAGCGAGACCCGCGCCCCCAGUUGCCAGUCCUCCCCGCUGGGGAGGAGGCACUCUGGGGGGACCGCCGGCGAUAAGCCGGAGGAAGGAGCGGGCGACGGUAGGUCAGUAUGCCCCGAAACCCCCGGGCUACACGCGCGCUACAAUGGGCGGGACAAUGGGAUCCGACCCCGAAAGGGGAAGGGAAUCCCCUAAACCCGCCCUCAGUUCGGAUCGCGGGCUGCAACUCGCCCGCGUGAAGCUGGAAUCCCUAGUACCCGCGUGUCAUCAUCGCGCGG